This 693-nucleotide ribosomal RNA is filed under the name Salmonella enterica. Its description in RNAcentral is "bacterial LSU rRNA". It matches the Rfam family "Bacterial large subunit ribosomal RNA", at positions 623 to 1315 of the family's 2925-position model. RNAcentral also lists the same sequence under 1 other name. The record is from RNAcentral. Lineage: Bacteria; Pseudomonadati; Pseudomonadota; Gammaproteobacteria; Enterobacterales; Enterobacteriaceae.
GCGACUUAUAUUCUGUAGCAAGGUUAACCGUAUAGGGGAGCCGAAGGGAAACCGAGUCUUAACUGGGCGUUAAGUUGCAGGGUAUAGACCCGAAACCCGGUGAUCUAGCCAUGGGCAGGUUGAAGGUUGGGUAACACUAACUGGAGGACCGAACCGACUAAUGUUGAAAAAUUAGCGGAUGACUUGUGGCUGGGGGUGAAAGGCCAAUCAAACCGGGAGAUAGCUGGUUCUCCCCGAAAGCUAUUUAGGUAGCGCCUCGUGAACUCAUCUUCGGGGGUAGAGCACUGUUUCGGCUAGGGGGUCAUCCCGACUUACCAACCCGAUGCAAACUGCGAAUACCGAAGAAUGUUAUCACGGGAGACACACGGCGGGUGCUAACGUCCGUCGUGAAGAGGGAAACAACCCAGACCGCCAGCUAAGGUCCCAAAGUCACAGUUAAGUGGGAAACGAUGUGGGAAGGCUCAGACAGCCAGGAUGUUGGCUUAGAAGCAGCCAUCAUUUAAAGAAAGCGUAAUAGCUCACUGGUCGAGUCGGCCUGCGCGGAAGAUGUAACGGGGCUAAACUGUGCACCGAAGCUGCGGCAGCGACGCUUAUGCGUUGUUGGGUAGGGGAGCGUUCUGUAAGCCUGCGAAGGUGUCCUGUGAGGGAUGCUGGAGGUAUCAGAAGUGCGAAUGCUGACAUAAGUAACGAUAA